GUUUGAGAGAAGGGAUGACACAGUAGGAUAAGCUAAGCACACUGUUGGUUAUGUGUGCCCAAGCAUUGAGGCAGUCAAAGUAGGCAAAUCCGCUUUGAUAAUGCUGGGAUGUGAUGGGGAGCGAAAUGUAGUAGCGAAGUAGCUGAUUUCACACUGUCAAGAAAAGUCUCUAUCGAGGUUAAAGGUACCCGUACCGCAAACCGACACAGGUG
This 212-nucleotide ribosomal RNA is filed under the name Clostridioides difficile. Its description in RNAcentral is "partial 23S ribosomal RNA". It matches the Rfam family "Bacterial large subunit ribosomal RNA", at positions 1455 to 1665 of the family's 2925-position model. Lineage: Bacteria; Bacillati; Bacillota; Clostridia; Peptostreptococcales; Peptostreptococcaceae. The record is from RNAcentral.